Molecule: ribosomal RNA, 497 nt
Filed under: uncultured bacterium
Lineage: Bacteria
Description: partial 16S ribosomal RNA
Rfam family: Bacterial small subunit ribosomal RNA
Source: RNAcentral
GAUGAACGCUGGCGGCGUGCCUAAUACAUGCAAGUCGAGCGAAUAGAUGAGGAGCUUGCUCCUCUGACGUUAGCGGCGGACGGGUGAGUAACACGUGGAUAACCUACCUAUAAGACUGGGAUAACUUCGGGAAACCGGAGCUAAUACCGGAUAAUAUAUUGAACCGCAUGGUUCAAUAGUGAAAGACGGUUUUGCUGUCACUUAUAGAUGGAUCCGCGCCGCAUUAGCUAGUUGGUAAGGUAACGGCUUACCAAGGCAACGAUGCGUAGCCGACCUGAGAGGGUGAUCGGCCACACUGGAACUGAGACACGGUCCAGACUCCUACGGGAGGCAGCAGUAGGGAAUCUUCCGCAAUGGGCGAAAGCCUGACGGAGCAACGCCGCGUGAGUGAUGAAGGUCUUCGGAUCGUAAAACUCUGUUAUUAGGGAAGAACAAAUGUGUAAGUAACUAUGCACGUCUUGACGGUACCUAAUCAGAAAGCCACGGCUAACUACGUG